This 429-nucleotide ribosomal RNA is filed under the name uncultured bacterium. RNAcentral's name for it is "bacterial SSU rRNA". It matches the Rfam family "Bacterial small subunit ribosomal RNA", at positions 28 to 452 of the family's 1533-position model. The record is from RNAcentral.
GAUGAACGCUAGCGGCAGGCUUAACACAUGCAAGUCGAGGGGCAGCGUGGAGCAGCAAUGCUCUGACGGCGACCGGCGGAAGGGUGCGUAACACGUGAGCGACUUGCCCGUCACAGGGGGAUAACCGGCGGAAACGGCGACUAAUACCCCAUAUGAUGCGAUGCUGCAUGGCAUUGCAUUGAGAGAUUCAUCGGUGGCGGAUAGGCUCGCGGGACAUUAGCUAGACGGCGGGGCAACGGCCCACCGUGGCGACGAUGUCUAGGGGUUCUGAGAGGAAGGCCUCCCACACUGGGACUGAGACACGGCCCAGACUCCUACGGGAGGCAGCAGUGAGGAAUAUUGGUCAAUGGGCGGAAGCCUGAACCAGCCAUGCCGCGUGAAGGACUAAGGCCCUACGGGUCGUAAACUUCUUUAGACGCAGAGCAAUAA